Long non-coding RNA from Patiria miniata (bat star), 295 nucleotides. RefSeq lists it as uncharacterized. The transcript is spliced from 2 exons. The record is from RefSeq and is a predicted model, not a curated record. NCBI's taxonomy places the organism in Eukaryota, Metazoa, Echinodermata, Asteroidea, Valvatida, Asterinidae.
CAGCCAGCCAGCCAGCCAGCCCAGCCAGCCAGCUAGCCAGCCAGCCAGCAUGAAAUAAGUCGGCCAGGUGUGUUCACUAUUAGCCAUUAGCGCUCAAAUUGAGCCAGUGAACACCCAAGACCCUGGAUCUCAAGACCCUGGAUCUCAAGACCCAAGUACAGUCGGCAAGUGGAGUCGUUCGAUGGGUUGUUCAGAGUGAGUCAGACUCUAAAUGUUUAAUUGCAUCCCAGCGCGCUCUUCCUCUGGUGUAUGUUCUGGUACAUGUUGCGGUUGUGGGGUCGGUGGUGGUUGGUUU